RNAcentral lists this long non-coding RNA (24438 nucleotides) under Marmota monax (woodchuck). The record is from RNAcentral. Lineage: Eukaryota; Metazoa; Chordata; Mammalia; Rodentia; Sciuridae.
ACACUUUCAGAGGCAAUUAGGUGCCCCAGUGGAGCAUUCUGGUGUGUGGCUUCAAGUCACAGGCUUCAUUUUGGCCUUCAUGGACCUUUUAUUUACUUUUUAGGACUCUACUUCCCACUGGAGUCCAGAGGAAACAGCAAGAAGAUGGCAGGAAGCCAGAGUCCUCCACUGGUGAGCUCUUUAUCUUUCUUCUACAGAAGCUCUGUGCAGAAACAGCAACUCAGGCUGUCCCUUAAGCAGCUUCAUUGUCAAAGGCUCAAUAGAAUUCUCCUUCUGAACAAAGGGAGAUACAUUUCUUUAUCUCUCUAAUUAAUGCUUAGACUUAAAAAAAUUGUGUUCAGUCUGCAGCCUAGAGGAUGAGCUACCUGAAAAAGGAGUAUUUUCUUUUGGAAGAAAAAAAAUGUUGAUUCUGUCUCUGCUGUAUGGAUUUUCACAUCAGUCAGGGAGCUUGAUAAAUAGAGAUUCAAAAGAAAUUCCAGGGGGUGUAUUCUACCCCAGCCUAGACAUUCAGGCUCCAAUUCCCAUUAUCUAGCAGUCCAGUGGGUUGAAAUGGAGCAAAUGCAGAUCACUGUAAGCUACACUAAAUGUGUGUUGCACCAACCACUGUUUAAUAUGUGCAAUGCUUUCUGCCUUCACAGUUAUUCAUUUUAUAGUCUUGUGCCAAAAGACCAAUCAUCAAAAUAUAGCAUGCUGGUGGGGAGUAGAAACAAGUAUAGAAUACAUUCAAACUUUCUGUCUCCCAGAUCAAUUCUAAAUUGACCCUGCUGGCUUAGGGAACUCAGUACAUGGAUCUGCUAAAACUUAUCUCCCUGAAUAAAUCUCUUCUCUCUCCUUUUCAUACCUCAUACCAUAUCCUGUUCCUGAUCUUUCUGCUUCUUUUUGUCUUUCUGUCUGACUUUUUUCCACUACUUUCUGAGUGAUUGGACCUUAAUACAUUUCUUGACACAUCUCAACAGGUGAUCAUUUAAAUAUCUCUCAAAAGCCACAAAAAAGUAAAAAUCAUGGUGCAGGACAACUAAAUUUUUAGUAUUUCAUCAUGAUAAAACAAUAUCUCAAAAUAGUUUAGCAAAAUGAAAUGGAAUCUUUGUAACAUGCAUUGAUGGAGAAUAAUCUAGAAAUAGCUGUGGACUUUAAUGCUAUAUAUAUUAUAAAGCUUAGCUGUAAACUAUGAGAGAUACUAUGAUCCUAAAGUGAUAAAAGCAGAAGAGUGAAGCCAGGGAUCAGAGCAAAUUUUUAUAUUGUGCUCUCUUGGUUUUCCAAGAGAGAUUUUUAUAAUUGAAGUGAUGCCUGUAUUCCCUAGACAGUUUCCUUAUGAGAGCAAAGAUUCUCUCAAGAGAAAGAAAAUUUAGUGUUCAUCCACAGACAUUCUACCCUAUUAGAAAUGCCAUAUCUACAACCUUUCUUUAGAUUGGGAUAUGUUUCUCCAGAGGGCCUACCCAGUGUGGUUCCUCUGUCCAUUCUUGGUUAAAUGUUAGAGAGUAACAGCUUUGGUUUAGACUUUCCUGUUGGUGUCCUCCGCACAAAAUCUUCAGGAUGGGAGGUUUGGUGCAUGAAGCUUUAAGAUCUAACAUAGCAGCACUGACUAACCAAGACACUAACUCCAAGGAGGAAAGAUAAAGAAAGUUGAAGGAGGAAUGAGGGACUUGGAGAGAAGUUGCAACUCCUGAGUUGUGAAAUCAUUUGAGUUUGCUCAUUGGCCCUCCAAUAGAGGUGCAGGUGUAUUCUUUUCUAACUCUUUUCAAAUCUAAUCAAUUUCUGUAUUUACUCAUGUACAGAUUUAUUUGUUUGCCUCAAAUUUGUCCUAUUCCGUUCAGGAUACUAUAACAAAAUACCAUAGACAGAGUGAGGUAUAAACAAUAAACGUUUAUUUCUCCUACUACUAGAGGCUGGGAAUUCUAAGAUCAAAAUGCCAUUACAUUCAGUGUCUGGGAGGGCCUACUUCUGGAUUUGUAGGUGUGGUCUUUUUUUCUGUACCUUCAUGUGGUGAAAGGACAUAAGGGCACUAAUUCUGUCAUGAGGGCUCCACCUUUAUGAUCUUACCACCUCACAAAGGCCCCACCUCCUAAUAUCAUCCCCUUGGGGGUUAGGAUUUCAACAGAUAAAUUUUAGGGGGACACAAACACUUAGACUAUAGCAACUGUCUCUUACCUGAAGCUUGUGGUGACAUCUUUUUUAUUUGAGUUUUAUGGUGAUGAUCAUAUAGUAUCUGCCAUCCAAGUCAUCUCAUUUAGGAAUUCAAAGGCAUGAAGUUGGAUGAAACCUGUAUAUAAGGACAUUAAUACUGUAAUCACAACUAACCAAGAGACAGCAUUAUAAGAAAGAGGAGGAAGGGAAGAGGGGUGGAGAGUGAGGGAAAAAUGAAAAGAAAAGUGGUGGUUUAAAAGACAGUAGGGAGGACAGUUGCUGUCUCUUUCCUGGUAAGGAGAAAUACAGAGUACCACCCUCUUGCCCUCCCAAGCCUUUCUAACUUUUUCCAUAUGACUGCAAGUGUUUAAAUGAUCACUGGAACCUAUAACCACAGGAUCUGCCCCUGCAGCUUGAGAGCCCCUCUGUUCCAUAUGUAUGCAUACAACAAUUUCCCUUUGAUUCCUCUUCAUUCUAGAACCCCAUCUCUGAACGUUCCAUCUUUAGUCCUGCUUUCUGGUAAACAUUACAGGUCUGGUACACCACACUAGUCUCUCAGUCAGCUCUGACUACCCCCAGGAGGCCUCCUAGUAUCAGAUGCACUCUAACUACUCCCACUCUACUGCAGAGGCCCAGCCUCCUACUAGAAUGCUCUGGAAGUUUAAAAAGGGAUUUCUGUUUUGUUUUGUUUUUAGUAAAAAGCCAACCUCUGUAAUCUUCUAGUCAAUCUUUUUUUCUCCCCUUUUCAUCCCUCCUUUCUGUCAUGGAAUCCCAGCUAGGUGCACAGCAAUAAUUUUUUUUUUCUCAAUAACAUAUGCCUGCACAAUCAGGGCCAACUCUGAAUAGAAUUGUGAAGUGUUUACUGAACUUGUACUAUCUCCUAUCUUUAUAUAAGAAUUAUAUCACUUACGUCCCAUGACAUCCUUUAUCAACUAGGAAUCAUGAUCUAUGUUAUACAAUUGAGGAAAUUGGUGUCCGGAAAGGUAAACCCACAUAUCCAAGAUGAAGUGCCAGGGUCAAGUGCCAAAGCGCAGGCUGCUUGACCACAGAAACUGCCAUUUAACUAGCUCUCUCCUGAAGCUGUUUGAUAGAGUUUGGCCUGAACAAUGCUUUCUACCAUUUCGCAUUCUGCUGAGCCCCCCAUCUCAAGCUCCAACCAGGUACCUGACACCCUCAUGUUUCUCCACAUAUUUCUUGGUACUAUAGGCAAGAAUUUUCAUCUGUUUCACCUCUUCUAUAGGAAGAUGACAUCUGAGAAAAGGCAGCAGGAAGAGAAAUUUCUAGGUGGAUUCCUUCUGUUUAUUUAAUUUACCUGUCAGGGAUAGAUUAUGAGAUGAGUAGUGCUUUUCUCUUUACAUGAUAGAAUGGAGAUAAGGGCGUACUCUAUUCAUAUGACAAGCUAGAGCAGAAACCAUAUUUGACACACUUUACAGCCUUAUGGUUUGGAGAAGGAGCUCAAGUAGUGUAUAGGAAGAAUGUGUUGGUGCUUUCCCUUAUAAUUCAUAAUACUCUGCCAUUUGGCAAUGUUCUGAAAUCCCAGAGGAGACUUCUGGGCUGUCCCAUGAGAUAUCUGUGCUGUCAUAUACUUUAUUUUCUUGUGCUUCUACUAGAUUAUGUAUUGCAUUCCCUUGUGAUUCUAAAUUUUGUCUAUCACUCAUUUUCCAUCUAUACCAAAUGUUGUUAAAAUCCAACAACCACAUCUCCUAUGUAGUCUAGGGUGGUACCUCACUUUAAGCAGAUGUCCUAUACAUCUUUGUUGAAUAGAAAUGAAGCCCAGUGAAUGAAUGCUGUUUGAAACUUCAGAUUUUUAUGCAGGUUAGAUGGAGCUCCCUAUUUGACAUAAAGCAGACUUUAGUUACAAAAAUCAUUAAUUCUUUUUCUUUUCCCAUUCUUCCCCUCCUCUUACUCCUGGCUUCCCCUGCCCCCAGUACCAGACCAUCUGCUAUGAGGCACGAGCAGGCUGGAAAAGAUAAAGAAAUCCCAAAGUGAAAUCUUGACAUGGAAGCAAUGUGCUUUGAAUUGGCUCUAUACAUUAAUAACAGGAACCAGUGAAGGGGCAUUCUUCAGUUUGAAAGGAAAGCCCUGAGAUUAAUAGCUUCUAAGUUCCUGAUGGAUACCACUGUCUCUUUUUGGGCCUUGGCAAGCAAACAGUCCUUGGAUUCAUCUGUGAUCUUGGGCCCAAGGAGAUCACAUUAUAGGAAAAGGCACUAGAAGGAGCUGCCUUAGUUUACUUUUCUGGGUAUCUGGGCCUGAGUAAUUGGGGUCAUUGGAAUUUGGGGCACACAGAGGGUUGCCAGAGCUAGAGAUUAAACUUCCGCCAACUAUGCAUUAAUAUCUUAGUUACUGGGGGACAAUGGGCAGUACAUCUGCAGUUGAGUCUUGCUUUUGUUUAUGUCUACAUGCUGAAAGCCCAGCAGGGAAAGAUUUACUGGGAGAAUUACUGCUUGGGGCUGAACCUUCACAAAAGUUAUACAAAUUUAGAGUGUCUAAAUGUAGCGACAGCAAGAAAUGCAACAAGGACCUGGCUGCUGACAUUAUGUACUCUUGAAUACUACAGAAAAACAUUGGCUAAGUGAGAGCAAGAAUGAGGGGAUUUCUAGUUGGCAUUUGCCCUUCAGAAUGAGUAUCAUGGUGUGGCCUACAAGAUGCCUGAUGAGAUGCAGAAAUCACAGUGCCACUUUAUUUUGUUUAGGUACUAGAUCUAUUUGAUAGAUGAUUCAAAAUGUACACCAAAGUCCUUUCUUCCUUUCCCUAGAAUUCCCACCAUUCCUGUUGCUGAUGCUUUAGAAAGCAAAAUCCUAGGUGUGAUCUCUCCAAAGGUCACUUCUAUAUCAUCAUCCUUAUAAUUAAUAGUAAUAUUAAUUAUGUUAUUGGUAUAAAUUAUAUCAUAUUAAUCAUAGAAAAGUCUAAUAUCAGGACAGAAUUAACAGUAAACUAGGAACAGGGUACAUAAACCUUUUAAACUGUGUUUUCACCCUCAUUCUUGACCUGGAUGCUGAUUUUCAGAAAGUCUAGCAUAACAAUCCAUCUGUGGCUUCCCUUUGUUCCUUUCUUCUCUAAUCAAGCUGCAAUACCCGUGUCAUGCACGAAUAGCUUGGACUCUAUUUUAAUUACCCUAUAAACAAGUGUAAAGGUAAGAAAACAGGAGAAUUUGUGUUUCUGUAAUCUGGUCCAUAAAAAUCUACAACUUGAUACUUUGAAGUUGGCAUGGAUACCAAAGAGUCCUAUAAUGGCUUAGUUUAAAAAUCAACAGGUAAGAUAAGACAUUGGAAAAGAUGAUACCAGAGACCACCAUCGACAAAAAUUGAAGGAUGUAACACAAAGCUAAAUUAUACCAUCUCUCAUGAUCUUUCUUCUAUCACCAUUUCUUGGUCAUAUGCCUGUUAUGAAUGAUGUGUGUGUGUAUGUGUGUGUGUGUUUGUGUGUGUCUGUGUGUGCGUGCAUACACAGAUUGGGGGGAGGCAGAUUUAGUAUAAGGAGAAUAGGGAAGUGGGGUUUAUAAAAGCUUUGUGAAAGCCUCUUUGCCUGAAAGGCUUAUAGUAUAGAUGUUGGCAUUUGCAAUAAGGAGCUUGUCACAGGUCCAUAUUCUUUUUAAAGAUUCUACUGGGUCAGCCUUUAUCCUUUGAUUAUAUUUGUAUUUAUUACCCCAAGAUCCUAGAUGUCAUGACUAUAGGAACAAUGAAUUGUGGCUAUAGUAAAACUAAGUAUAUCUGGAUAAUCACCUCCUUUCUCAUUAAUGUUAUUUAAUUGACCAGAUUAAUUAAAGUGUGAUCAACUUAACCCAAGAUUAGCAUGAGGGUGAUAGAAUAAAUGAAAUCUUCAGAGAAUAUGCACUGAAGAGUUGUCAUUGCACUGAGUCACUACCUUGUGAUCUAUCAUGUGAUGCCCAGCAGUUUUUUAAGUGUAUAUAUUUAAGAUAUUUGAUAUGAUGUUUUCAUGUAGAUAAUGAAAUGAUUACCAUAGUCAUGCAAAUUUACCUAUUCCUCAUCUCAUAUAGUUACCUUUUUGUAUUAUAUGUGGUAAACAUACUUCAAAUCUAUUCUUAGCAAAUUUCUAGAUUAUAAUUAAAUAUUACAAAAUAUAGUCUUAAUGCUUUAUAUCAGAUCUCUAGGCUUCUCCUAUAUAAAUGAAUUUUUUGUAAUUUGACCUAUAUAUCCCCAUUUAUCUCCAGCCUCCUGACCCUAGUACCACGGUUCUACUCUCUGUUUCCAUGUAUUUAACUUAAUUUUGUUUUUGUUUUGUUCUGUUUUGCCUGAAAGGCCCAUUGAUCACUUCACCUUAAGGUUGCAUGUUUCCUCUCUAGAAGAUACAACACUUCUAAGUCCCUCUUUAAUUUUGGUCUGUGUGUGCACUUGUUUAUUUAUGUUUCAAAUAUAUUUUGUAUUGCAUUGGUCAUCCCUAGUUUAUCACAUUGAUAAUAUAAAGUUUAAGAUAUUUCCUAGUGGCCCAGUGUAGAAAUUUAAUUAGACACCUAAUUACCUGCUGUACAUGUAGUGUGACAUGUUAAAAAUAUAUCUAUUCUACCAUAAAUAUAAGAAUUGUCUCUACAUAGAUAUUGCUUCAGACCUUUAAACUUUCUGAUUUAUCUAUAAAAGAAUUUUUGUAAGACACCAGUUUAUCCAUAACAGAUGGUUUAUUAAGUAAAAAUCAGCUUUAAAACAAACAUGUCACAAUUAUUUUAUUCUCUGCAGCAGAAUUCCUACUGUUGAUGAACUCCUAAUUGGAAUUUGGUUCUGGCAAGGAAUAAAAAACAGAGACAUACUGUGAGGACAGAAUGCCAAAAAUAGCACACUGAGCAAUACAAAGGACCAGCGCAGUCCCACCUUGUGUUUUCUUUAGGUCCCCUUUCUUUCCUUUCAUGUGAAAAAGACCAUUUGGCCUUAGUACAAGCCAAUCUUAUAGACCAGGAGACAGAUGCACUAAGAGGCAUGGUCCACGGUGCCAGUGAGAAAAGAUCUAGGAUUUCACACAAGUUCUGCUCUGAGUGUGCUAGAAUCAACAAGAUCCUUAGCUCAACUGCCCUUAUCACACCUUUACAAUACUCAGAAGACCACUGUGUCUGCUAAAAUGGGAAUAGUGCUGGCAAAGAGUGACAGCAGAAGCAUCAAGAAGGAUAAAAAUUACUGGACAUUCUAUGUAAGAUGGGUUCUGUUCUAAAUGCUAGUCAUACUUUCUGUCACUAAAUACUGGCAAAACCCUACAACAUUUACAAACCUUGGCAAACAUCUGGUUUGCAGAUGAGAAAAUGGAGGCACACAUGGUUAAAUGACUCCCUCAAAGUCAGGUGGCUAAUUAGGUGAUAGAGCUGGCAUCAAAACCCAGCUCUUUUCUUGACUUCUAACCACUAUCCUAUUUACCUCCUAUGUUUGUGAGUGAUCAUUAGGAGGUUAGUGCCCAUUAAUACAUUAGGAUGAACUUAGUUUUCAGAUUAGCAAUCACUAGCCUGUGUGCCUGACUUAAUGGCAUAUAGGACAGGGGGAGUUUUAGAGUGCAGCUGAGCGUGUGUGUUUAUGUAUUUAUGUAGGUGUGUGCAAGUGUGACAGUGAAAAUAAAACAAAUCCAGAGGAAGGUUCUAUACCUCAUUUACUGAAGUAUAACGCUAGAAAAUCUAAGGUAGUUGCAAUGAGGGAUAUCAGCAGGGGCUCAUGACAAUCUCUGAAAUUAGGUUUUAUUAGUGAUGAUUUCUAAUAAAGUAGGUUUACUGGCCCAAAGACUGAAAUGAGUGCAAACCUUUGCUUUUAAACAUGCUGACUGCCUCAUUGUUGGCUGCACUGAGACAUACAGUUUGAAAAAUCCACCCGUGCUUGACACAUUCCCCAGUCUUUGCUGGGGGGAAAUAAUGCAGUCUCGCAUCCCAGGGGAUGCCACAAUGAAAGAACCCCAGGUGGUCUGCAAAAUUAUCAGCUUCUGAAAGGUAGCCUUUUCUCUGAGCUGAGAGCGCCAGGCAUACUUGGCUUCUAACUCACCAUAUGGCAUGCGUUAUUGGACCGGGCUGCUCUGUUCAGUCUCUGGUGUGAUGUGGCACUUAAUGCUGUGGAAUUAUUUCCUUACUCAAUUAAAAAAAUAUCCCUCUUUAAAUCCUCAUCUGUUUUUCCCCACAAGCCCCCCUGUGAUUCCCAUAGGUACUGAAUGUAUUUUCUGCUUUGCUCCUUGCUUGUCCUUUCCUUGUGCUUUUCUAUUCUAAACCUUUUCCCCCUGUGACUUAAAAGUGCAGCAGGAAAAUGGAGCAUGGUUGCACUCCCUGGGCCUGGAUCCUCAUAAAGCAACUAAUUCCUGAGAUCCUUCAGAUAUUCCUUCUCUGAAGAAUGUUUUUGAUUAUCUCUCUCUUGCCAUAUUUUUUAGUGUUCUACUCUCAUUAAAAUUCUUAAAAGCAAUAACCAAAAAACAAAACUAAGGUAUUUUAUCAUGAGACUCACUGAUUUUAUUUCUAGAGCUACUUACUUUUUGCAUAGUUUUUCUGAGUCUCUAAUCCUAUCUUCUUUGUAGUUGUGUUCAUAUGUGUUACUCAAUGAUCUUUUAAUGUUUUCAGUCACAUUUCCCCUAGUCAGGAAUAUCCCAGCCUGUGGGUUCUCCUGAAUUCAGAAAGAUCCUCAGGCCCAUGUCUCCAUGUAGCUACUUUACAACUUGAAGGUCCUAAGGGUGGUGUGUCUAGAAGGUACCAGUGAACAAUGCAACUGGUCCAGGGAUAAGUCCAGUAUGGAUUAAUUUACACAGGUCUAUCCAGAGUUUGUAUCAAAAUUACUUGGGGAGCUUGUCACAAUAUGUUUCCUGGGUCCUACCCUAAAUCUAUUGAAUGAGGAUACUAUAAUUGUGUCUGAGGUGUUGGCAGGUAGCAGGCCCAAGAAUGUGAAUUGAAAAAAAUAAACUCCCCAGACAGUCUAAUCAGGAAUCUGAGAAUUAUUAUUAUUAAGAACAAUCAGCUUUUUUAAAAAAAAGAAAGGUAGUGGCGAUGUGGAGUUUUUUGACCUGGAUCAAAGUAAAGUCUCAGAUAGGAAAAUCAGCCUCAAAGCCUGCUAUAGAGGAGGCAAAAUAACAGGUCACCUGUGGGAAACCAAUAACAGGGUCUGCUUUUCAAUGUUAGAAAAGAAGUUGGAAGUCUGGAUUGAAUGGCUACAUUUUCUGAAACUCCAACUUCAGGUCUCUCCUCUGGAAUUUCCCAUCCUUGAUUUAAAAACCAUUUUAGAGGUCUGUUUAUUCUCCCUUACCUAUCACAGGGAAAGAACUCACUUCUCCCAUUUAAAUUAGACCUCAGAGGUAUAAUGUCAUGAGGAUUGUGCUAGUGAAUCAAUGGAUUCACAUCAUGAUUCUCAAAAUAUGUUCCUCUGAUCACCUGCAUCUGACUCACUUAAAAUGUUGUUAAAAAUGUAAAUUCUUAGGCCCCACUUCUGAUCCACUGAAUUAGAAUGGGGUUACUAAAUAUGCAUUAUAACCAGGUAUCCAGAUGCCACUGAUACAUAAUAAAGUUUAAAAGCAAUAUUCUAAAGUAUUUAUGUAUUUACUCUCUGUCUAUGGAAAUCUAUUAGGACCCUUGUCUUAGUCCUGAUAGAUGUGGUCUUUUCUGCUAUGAAGAUGGGAAAUAUGGAGAGACAUUAUUACUGGGGUACAGGAGAGAGUUCAGGAACACUGAGAUACAGCAGCUCAACUGGAGGUGGUAGGAGAGACUCAAGGAUUAUACUUGAAAUUUGUGUACUUGAGUUGUAGUUGGGAAAAGGAAUGAAGCCCAGGGCAAACCAACAGCAAAAUUACUCAAGUUAGUUUCAGCUAAAACUUCAACCCCCACAGCAAAAAUGCCUAGAAAUGAGGUUUGGAGGUCAAAUCAGAGCUGGAGUCUAGAAUACAAAAUGAGACAAAAUGCCAGUCUACCUCACAAUGAAUUGCACGUGGGGAAAGAGAGAUGGGCCCGCCUGGAAUCUCCUGCCCCCCCAUCUCUCUUUUUGCCUAGAAGAACCUUGUUCUAUCUUCAGCAUCCCAGUGCCCUACCCAGGCUGCUUGGGUCACUCUAGUUUGACAGUGACCACUGACCCCUGAUGCCUUCCUGUCUUCUUUUAUUUGAAAAGUAUGAUGGUGUUUUUUCCUAGGUUCUUUCACUAAAAUCUUCAGAAGUGCUUGGUACAAAAUAUCAAGGAAUAAUAGUUCACAUACCUUGGGAAUCCCAGGCAAUUUGGAUGUCUGUCCAGAACAAAGUGAGGUUUGAGGACCGUUUGUAUCAGUAUCUUACUCUGAUUGAGCAAAAGUGCCAUAGACGGAGAGACUUAAACAAAAUUUUUUUUUAAUACAGGGUGGGGGCUGGGAAAUCCAAGAUCAGGGUGCCAACAGUUUCAGCAUCUGGGAAAGAUUUACUUCCUGGUUUUCUGAUGAUCACUUUGUCCUUAUAUGGCUUUUCUUCUGAGCAAGCAUGGGGAGGGACAAGGAGAAAAGGGGGAAAAAGGAAAGGUGAGAGAGGGAGAAGAAGGAAGAGAAUGGACAUGCUCUCCUACUUCCUGACAUAAAGCCACCAAUCCAAUCUUGAUUAGAGUUUCAUCCUUAUGACCUCACUUAAUAUGAACUACCUCCUAAAGGUACUAUCUCCAAAUAUAGUCUCAAUAGGGGUUAGAGCUUAAAUACAAGAAUUUGGUUGUAUGUGUAUGGGGGGUGCAAUUCAAUCCAUAACAAUCAACACCCAUAACAAUACACACCAAAGGAUGCUGCUACUGAGAUAGGAUCUUGCUAAGUUGCCCAGGGUGACCUGGAACUCGUGACACUUCUGCCUCAGACUCCCAAGUAGCUGGAAUUACAGGUGUGCACCACCAUGCCUGGCUUAUUACUAAGUUUUAAAGGGUGUCUCUAGUUCAGAAAGAGAAAAUUCACAUGUUUUCACUGGCCAGGCUUUUAAGUAACUAUAAAUAUGUAGGAUUACCAGAGGUGAUAUAAAUAGUGCUUUGUAGAACUUACAAUCAUUCAAAAACAUACUUUAAAAAGAACACUCCAUUGGCCAAAUGGUCUACAGACUGCUUCCAUCUGAGGCAACUGGUUUUGUAAUCCCUUUUCUAGAACAACUAUUUUAAGAUUUAUCAAUAAGUAUAUAUUUUCCCUUCCACUCACUUUAUGGGUUUUUGCAUUUCAACCACAAUUCCUUUUACUCUUCCUCUUUCCACUCUUAAUUGGCAUUGCUUGAUGUUGCUUUUUGAGCAUUUUUAAGGAUUGGUAUUAUUUUAAAAUGUGUGUCCUCAAUAAGCAAUCAGACUCUAUCCUUUCAAGGACAGGGACUGGGCCCUGUUUCUUUUGUCUUCCCUCAAUGAUGUUUAGUUUGGUGUGCAGUUCACACUGGGCACUUGGAUGACUAAUUGACUCCCUGUCAGGACCAGCACAGUACUACAGAAGAGAAGUGAGUUCACUAUAGCUGAGAUUUGGAGAUAAGGACCACUUCCUGUGUGAUCAGCAUACAGUUUCUCCUAGUUUGGGGAAGGCAAGGCAUAAGAUUUUAUGUAUUUAUUUUUAAAGAAAUAUUGGAUUUUUUUCUAAUACUGGAACACAAACCAGACUUGUUCCUCUGCUAUUGUUUGAAUUUAGCAGGAUGUGUUUUGUUUGCUGCUUCUGGACAUACUAGAUCUGCUAUUUUUAGUGUUCUUCAUUAAAUGGAUUGUUGAUAUGUAAAUAUACAAGUUGCUAUGCAAAAUUGCCCUAAUUUUCUUGUGAACUUUUUUCCUGCAGCUUGUAGAAAGGCAUUAUGUUAGUUCUUCACAUUCAAGAAUAUUUUAAGUACUUGGAGCUAAAUUGUGCUAAACCAAUUGUCAAAACUUGGGAGUGUACCAUAAAAGAAAAUUGAUACAGAUAAAAUCAACCCAUUUGCAUGGUUUAUUUAUAUGUAUGCAAAUAUAUCUGUAUGUGGCAUAGAUAUAUGCACACAUUGUGUUAUGGCUAAAGAUUCAACUGGAGUUAAUGACCAUACACAGGGAAAAAACUAUUAGCAAAUUAAUUAAGAACCUGUCUGUCUUGCUAUUGUAAAAUGAAGCAGUUGUUAGCUUAAAGAGGAGUUCUUUCCCUCACUGAGUAUUGUGAUUCCAUAAAAUAUUCACUGACCUCUGUUAGAGAAGAGACUUCUGUUUAAAUCAAAAGAUUGUAGAUGAAUAGUUUAUAAUGAAUGAAUAGACUACAGAGGAGUGUAAACAUGAACUGAAUUAAAUGCUCUUUUGAUUAUGAUUCCCUGCUUAUUCAUUGGUUCAACAAGUGUUGAUUGAUUAUAAAACCUUCUAUGUGCCAGACACAGUACUGGGCACAUGGAGAACAAGAGGAUUAUAGGAGUGUUCCAGACAUCCAUAGUCUUUGUCUUCUUGAAAUUUGAAUUAAUUCUAAGUUCUAGCAUUUGUGUGCAUAUAUUUGCAUAUUAUAGUAAUUACAACAAUUUUGCAUGUUUUCUUAAUAUAAUUGAAAAGAUAGAAGAUGCCUUGGAACGCUAUUGAACUUAUCCUUUCAUUCUUCAGAUAAUUGGAGGAAGGGAAGUUAUAUGUUGCAUCAGACACUAUUGAUGCCCCUGCCCCCAAUUCUUAUCUCCUGGGUAUUCACCAUUUCUGGGCAUACCCAGCUAAUACUUUCAGCUGACACUCAUUGCCUAUGUGCUUUCUUUGGUCUCUAGAGUUCAUAGAAUUUGUGCUAGGGGGUUAAUACCCUCUCCCUCCAGGUAAUUAAACAGCCCUCAACUAAGUACUGAGGGAAAUUGAUGGAUUAAACCCCCCAGCUCUCUGUAGUAUCUCAGAGUUCCCUGGUGGGUUUGAGCACAGUUACCCACAGUGAUGACCUGCUCAGGAAUUCAUAUAUGCUGACUUACUUGUAUGCCACACUUCCUUGAUUUCCUACCAGUGCUUCUUGGAAUCACCUCCCAAAUAUACCACUUAUACUCAUAUUCUUGUCUCAGCUUCUGGGGAAACACAGCCUGUCAUGUGUCAAUCCUUGGCUAUCCAAGAAUAUACGAUGGAAUUGUAUGUUCAAAAUCAAAAUAAGGGCAUAUUUACUUUGAAAAUUACAUAUAAUGUGGAAUAUAUUCCUUGAUGAAAUAUAAUAGAUACUGUAUUUUCAUCAAGCAUUUAGAUGCAAAUGAUUAACUAAUUACAUGUAUUUGGGAAAGCCCUUAUCUUUGAGAAAAAGUGAAAUUCUUCUGCAAUUUGGAUAACAGAACUCCACUUUUGGCCUGGCAGUUUCACAGUUUUUAUGUAUUGCAGCUUUAAGAAAGCCAUCUGGUACAUUUUAAUAUUAUGGAAACUUGUUUUAAAAUAGGGCCACCUUUCAUCAUCUUUUCUCACUCCUUCUCUCCUCCUCCCUAUGACCAAGGUGUUCCUGGGAUAAUGAUAAAAAAUUGGGCUGGGUGGUUACAACAGUCUAAAACUCACAUUCCUUUCUGUUCAUUGCUGCUUUCUGGCAUCUACAGCCUGUGUCUGUUUUUCUCUAUUUUGAAUGGAGACUUACCUCUAGUUUAUUUAUAGACAUUGUGUCCAGCAUUUCCCUUUGCAGCUUCAUAAACCCAGUGCAUAUAUUUCUCUCUUUAUUUUAUUGGUGUUGAGGAAGUCAUCUGAUUUUUAUCAGACUUAGGCUGUUCCUGUCCAUGAAUAAUGUAAAGUGGGAAACGAAAAUAGACAGGCAACAGAACUGUUGGGCUUAUGGCAGAACUGAGGAGAACUUGGAACAUGAACUUUUUAUACUGGAACAUUUUUUAUAUGUGUGCCAGAAUUCAGUUAUCAUUCCCAUCUUAACAUCAUUCUUCCAUCUAACCACCUGCAAGUCUUAAGUUUUUUUCCAUUUGCGAGCUUGAGGAUGGCAAUUUCUGGGAGAAUGAAGGUUGCCUUGAAAGGAAGCACAGAAAAAAAAGAAAGAAAGCAAGCAUAGAAGGGCCUCUCUGAUUACAAAGGGGGACUUGGCUUUGGUUACCAAGGCUUCAGUUAUUAGGAUUCUCUGUCUUCUGCUUCAGUUGAUUGUCUGGAUAUGUGAACACUUGCUAAUUCUAACAAAGGUUUUGGUUCAGGAUGUUUGCCUAGACUUUGGAUGUCAGAUAUCUGUCUAUCUUUAUUUCUAUGUCCACUGUACCUACCUCCUUUGCUACCUACUAUGAAUUCUUGUGCAUAGUAGGGUUUGAAUACAUGUUUCUCAAAUAUCAGAUAUAUUUCCUGACUCUCACUUGUUGAUCCUUGUAUGGCUUUGAAGAUCUGAGAGCUUGACUUCUGAUUCCAAACUUUGUCCUGAACAUGGGCUCUUGAGUAAAUUCAUAGGGCUGAGAAGCUCUUUUACCUGGACCUUUCCCCUGUAUAUCUAGCCAUGCCUUCGUCUCUUGGAGUUCUAGUUCCUUAUUUUGCACCAAGAGUUACUGACUUGCUGUAAUGCUGACAGUACAAGGCAGAUAAUGUAACUAGAAUGUUCACACUAAGGGAGCAAGUUAACAAAUCGAAGAUCCACAAUCCUGUUUACACUUUUAUUUUGAAGGAUAAUUAUGCGUUUGCUUAAGUAAGACCCUAUGCAUUGAGUGCAGAUGUCAAAGCAAGAAAGUGUUGACUAAGACUGGGUUCCUGCUGUGAAGUGCAAGAUGCGUAAAAUUCCUGCAUAUGUGCAGAAAUUUAAACCCAUCAUUUACUGACAGGCAAUAAUUACUUUAAUGAAGUCAGGAGACUAUUUCAAACAAGCAAUUAGACUUAACAAUGAAGUUGUAAACAGGACCCUAAUUAAUGAAUUUUCAAAAUGUAUUUUCAACCUCUGCAGUUGCUAUGAACUCUAAAAAGUAUGUGAAUAACUAAUAUUUACUGAGUACUUAUGUUAUACUAGGCAUUGUGCCAGGCACGUUGGAUAUAUUAUCUCAUUUAAUUCUUAUAAUACUGUGAGGUAAAUACUGCAUUACUCCUAUUUUGUAGAUUAGGAUACUGAGAAUCAGCAGUAAGAAACUUUGUCCAAAUCACAGAUCUGUGGUAGGUCUGUGAUUGAAAUACGGCCUAGUUUGACUUUGGAAAUCAAACUCUUAACCAAGCACUAUAUUGCUCUAACCUAUAUACUACUUGUAUAAAACUACUUCCUAAGUGCGUCAGUCAGGAUAUGCCAAAGGAGAACAUGACAUAAUCAGAUUAGUAUAAUUUGAACAGGGUCUAUUCAUAAAGCAACUCUUUAUAGAGGUAUGGGUAUAAGGGACCCACAAGGAGUCUCAUAGCAAUAGCAAAAGAGAGCCAAGCUCUUAUCUCUAAGCCAAAGGGAUAAGAGGAGAGAUUAGUAUCUCUAAGAUGAAGUGGUAAGAGGAGGGAGCAAUUGUUGGCACCCAGAAGGAGAGGGCCUUGCACAUAAAACUGACAUAAGAGGGGCAGUGACUUUUGGGUUAGGUAGAGGAGCAGAGCAACAGGCCAGUGCAACCUCUCAGCAUUAAAUUCCCUGACCUUAUUUUCUCCUCCCUUUGGUCUUGCACUGGGCUCAUGGUUGGCCAAGUCUACCCAGAAAUCAUGGUAAGGAGCCAAUUGAUAAGGUGCAUUUAGGUCAGCUUUGCAAGGCAGAGAGCAAGGUUAAGGCUUGGAGUGGCUCUAGAAGGGCAAAUGGAAGUUACCCAUCAUACCAUGUGUUUAUCAUUCUCAUCUGCCACUGUGUUCUGGUCAACUUCAAGUAGCUUUUCACAAUUUUCAACUAAGCAGAGAAUAUAAACCAUUCACCAAGUGGGAUUUUUCUAUGUUUAUAAGUGAUCAUAACAGAAUUUUCACUUAAUGUUUCACAACCAUUAGAUGAUGCAGACCCUAUUAACUUUCUUGAGUUUAACUCAGAGUUAACUUGGGAUGUGUCAUACUAUAAGUCUUCUGUGGAUAAUAUUUCUGUUAAUGAUAAAUGUUUCUAAAGUAUUCCCAUACUUUUCACUUUUAAAAAUAUAUUUUUUUUUACUUGUAGGUAGACACAAUAGCGUUAUUUUAUUUAUUUAUUUAUGUGUCAUGCUGAGGAUCGAACCCAGUGCCUCAUGAGUGCUAGGUGACUGCUCUACCCCUGAGCCACAACCCCAGCUCCCUGUACUUUUUAUUUUUAUCUUUCACACCUCAAGACUUUCCUAUCUCUGUCAAAAAUCUCCUAAACUGGAAAACAGGGGUCAUCUUUGUCAUAUCCAUCUUGGCAUUGACAUCUAAAAUCAAGCCAGUCAUUGAUUACAGUUAAUUCUUCCUCUAAUUUCUAUUAUAUCCCUAAUCUCUCUCUCUCUGGUAUUGUAAACACCCUAAUAUGAAUCUUUUAUCACAUCACACCUGGAUUUUAGUGACAGCCUCUUAAUUGCCAUGUGGAUUUUUGUUGGGGUUUUUAGGCCCCGUCUCCUCCUGACCAGCGGGAGAAGCGGGAAAAGCAUGCCCCACCAAGAGGAGCCAAGAAAGGUAAAGGUCGACUGGCUGCCCACACCCAGCCCUCCCUCGCGGGAGGGCAAUCAGACGUGUCAGGGAGAACAGUCAAAGCAGGAUCUCGUGUAUUGAGGAAGUACACAUAGUUUAUAUACUGCACAGGAGCCAAUCAGAAUAAAGGUCAGAGGGGUGGAGCAAGUUCACGUGUACACCCAUCCCAUAGUCUGUAAGGGAAGGCACAAGCUGUCCACGAGGGCAGGCGGAAGAGUCCUGGACCUAUCCUGGAGGUGGCCCGCCUUUUCCGUCACCACCCACAGCACUGUCUCCUGGCUGAUCACCAGGAGCUGUCCCAGCCACAUGUGUGGCCCCAAGACCAGGAAGUGGGCAGCCACGCCCUACAGAUUUUAUUAGAUAGUAAUUCUGAACACUUUCAGAAAACUUCAAUACAUCACCAAUAUCUACAGAAACAGGGCCCCACAACUUGGCAUAGCACUCAAACCCUUCCAUAAUUUGUUUGCCAUUUUCUUUGUCCAACUCCUCUCUUCAAUUUCACCAAGCUACUUUACACUAGUGACUCCUUCUGCCCUGAAAUGGUGGUAUGUAUUUCCCAUUAAUAUGUUGGCUUAAGUUAUUCCUUCUUAUACUCACAUCUUUCUUCCUUGGUUAUCUAAAUCAUAUCUUUUAUUUUGGUGAACUCAGUUGUCAAGAAGCUCUUCUGCAUUCCAAUACUACUUAUUAUCUACAAAUAGUUAUAGUAGCACUAGUACCUAUAUCCCAGGUGUGUGUGUGUGUGUAUGAAUUUUUUACAGUAAUGCUUGGCACAUAGUAGAAUCUCAAUAAAUUCUAGCUAUCAAAAUUAUUUAUGAUUGCUAUAAUUCUUUUGGAACUCAAUAUAGUACUUUAUAUUAUUUUUUGCUUUGCAUAUAUAUAGAGUGUAACCCCUAAUUAUGGUAUUUUUAAAUCAGUUGCUGUAUUCUCAACAUCUAGCACAGAGACUGGCUAAUAGUGGGUCUGAAUCAAUGCAAAUUGUGUGGUAAAUGAUGAGGAGGAGGAGGAGGAGAAGGAGAAGGAAGAGGAGGAGAAGGAGGAGUGCUAUUUUUUUUCUCUCCUUUUGGAAAGUCAAAGCAAUAUAUAUCAAUAGAUAAGAUUGUUGAUUGUAUUAUAGGCUGGUAAGUACUUUAGAGAUGAUUCAAUUCCCCACCAUCAUCUUUUAAAUGGUACAACUGAGGCUCAAGGGAGAGAAAGAAUUUUCCAAAGCCACACAGUUGUCAGGUAAUGAAAAAGUCAGGGCUGGAACUGAGAAUGUAUUUCAGGUCAGUGACCUGAACAAAUAUUUAUUGAUCACAUAUUAUGUAUCUAGUAUUACGUGUGCUGUUGGAGACAUAUCUAUGACCAAGAUAAACUAUGUGCCUUUAGACCAUUUACUUUUUAAUCGGAGAAAUAAAUAAACUUAUAGGCAAACAGAAACAGUGACAAAUGCUAUUAAGGAAAUAAAAGAGAAAUGGAAAAAGCUAAGAGAGUGAAGAGGUAGGUGACUUAGUUUUCUGAAGUGAUAGUUAAAUGAUGACAAGGAGACUACCAAAGGAAGAUCUGGAGAAAGAUGGUUAUAGACAUAAGGAAGAACUCUUGCAAAGGUCCUGAGGUAGGAAUGAGUUUAGUGUGUUUCAGGAAAUGACAUGUGGCCAGUGUAGGGAAACGGUGUGGCUGACACAGUACUAGGAUUUGAGGUCAGGAAGCUAGGCCAAGUCACACAGAGCUCUAAAGUUUAUAGUAAGAGUCUUUAUUUUAAUUUUUGACCCUGUACAUGUUUUAAAAUGUUCAUCCAGGCUAAUGUGUGGAAUAGUAGUGGAAUAGUAGUCUGUACACAGAAGAAUAAGGAUGUGUCAGAAAAAUUAACCAAAACUUAAAGCCAGGCAAAACAGAUUAUCAAGCCUUUUUUCAGUACAGUACUGACUGGGCUUGAUUUUCUCUUAUUUGGACUAUUUUACAACUCUGUCAAGACAGAGGUUAACUCAUAGAUCAUAGCUUAGUAGAGAAGCAAAUAAUUUUUUGAUAUUUCUGUUGUAAUGAACAACUUCAAUGGCUAUCAAUAUGAACUUCUUGGAUAUUAACUAUUAUACUAACACAGAAAUCAUAUUCUAACAUAACAUAAAUAUUCUUAUAUGUUCUUUCCAGUUUUAAAAUAUUACUUGUUCCUGCAUUAGUUAAUGAAUUUACCAAAAUCUUUGGCAUAUGUCCAUGAGAGUCAUAAUUUUGCCUUUUUGAACAUUAAACUUUAACAAAUGAAAGCAGAGAGAACAGUAAAAUGACAGCUUCAGUAUCCAGUAGUCUCUGAAGAGAAUAUAGGGGUAUAACAAUAAGCUUUCUUCUUAUAUUUAAUGUAUCUUACACAUUAAUUUUGUCUAGCAUUGUAACAUCUGUAAUAAAAUUUCAUGAUGACACUCAUGUAACUGUGCAUGUGCCAGAUGCUGAUCUAAGCACUUUACAUAUAUUAAGCCACUUAAUCCUCACAAAAUUCCUUAUGUUAAUAAUAGUGUAAUAACACUCUUAGGGCACCCAUGUUACAAAUGAGGGAUCUGAUGUACAGAGAAGUUAAAUAAGUUGCCCAAGAUCACACAGCUACUACUAGCAAAGUCAAAAUGUGUCAAGUCUCUUCUGUUUCUCACAGAUGAGUACCAAUCUUCUCACCAUGCUUCCUCCCAUCUCUCUCACACACACAUUUAUAUUUUGCAAACAAAUAUGCAACUAUUCAUGAAGCAUACUAAAAAAUUACCUAAUGAGGUAGGAUCAUGAAAAUUUGGGAUCUACUGAUCUAAAACUUAGGUACUAUAUUUGUUAGCAUUAACUAGAGAAACAAAACUAAUAGGAGAUUGUGUGUGUGUGUGUGUGUGUGUGUAAUAAGUAGUUGACUCAUGUUGACUCAUAUGAUCAUGAAAAUUAAGAAACACCAAGAUCUUCACUUAGCAAGCUAGAGGCUGUAGAUCAGGAGAACCAAUAGCAUAAGUUCCAGUCUGAAAGCCAGGAGGUUCCAUACUUGGGAAAAGUUGAUGCUUUAGUUCAUAUCCAAAGGCAAGAACAGGACUGAUAUCCAGACCUGCAAGAGGUCUGCCAGGAUGAAUCCCCUCUUAUUGGAGGGGCAGGCUUUAUGUUAUAUUCAGACCUUCAAGUAAUUGGAUGGGGCACUCAUAUUGGGGAGGUCCAUUUGCUUUUCCAGGUCUAUCAGUUCAAACAUAAAUCUCAUCCUAGAAUGACAUACCCAGAAUAAUGUUUGACCAAAUGUUUGGGUACACUGUGGCCCUGUCAAGUUAAAAAAAAUUGACCAUUACAAGUAAAAUCUUUUAUUAGUUAAACCUCUGUUGAUCCUUCUGUGCUGCUGUGAAAUUAUAUCCUUACUUUGGAGCUGGAGUAUAAUUGUAUCAUUGAGGUGGUAAUAGACUUUUCAAUCAUCAGAAUUUUCUAUAUAUGCUCAUAGUGUACCCUAAGCUACAGUCUAGUCCUGGGAUACUUGAUGAUACUCUGUGCCCUGUUUGUUUGUUUGUUUUUCAGGGGUGGGGCUUGAACCCAGGGCUUCACACACCCUAGGCAAGUGUUCUACCACUGAGCUACAGCUUUAGUCCCUAACAAUACUCUGUACUCCUAAGUGCUUUUAGAUCUCUAGCUUUUUGAAAAUUGUUGUAUACCAACCAACUUUGCUAAUUAAAUCCUGGUCUUAAAAAAAUACAGAAACAAAGCAUUGUUGAAGCAUUUUUGAAAUGAAAUACAACAAAUGGCUCUAAAAAGAAAGCGAUUUAGAAAUCUGGAUUUCCUCAUUAUAUUUUUUCAACGGGGGGAAUACCUCAAAUUACAUGCUUGCUCACCUUGAUCAAUGAGGAGUUCUGCUUGUUAAGUAAGCACAAUUUCUAAUUGUAUUUAUUUUCUUGUGUGAUGCUUUGUCGAAGCGGGGUGAAUUUGAAGGCUAAACUAUUUGGAGGCAUGUGUCCUUUCAAUUGUUUUACCAAAACCCUUUUUAUUAACUCUGCUUCUGAACCUGUUGUGUUCUUUAAAAGAUUUGCAGAUAGGAGAUAUAAGAAAGACACCAGGCAAAGGUCAGUGUGGGUGGGGGCAUGGGGAUUUCUGCUCAGCAAUCCUCGGUUCCAUUGUCUGUGCAGUAUGGUAGAUGGGGAGGGGCACGUAUCAUUGCCAGGGUGCAGACAGAGCCCCAGAGCUAUAAGGUCAGCAGGAGGAAUCAAGGCCCAACACCAGUGAAGAUAAUUAGUCUGAGCCUGUGAUCUUUCACAGUCCCCUGUUGUCUGCUUUCUGUAUAUGAAACGGGUAUGUGGAGUAUGGGGGUGGCUGGGAUAGAGGCAAAGAGGCUUCAUAUAAUGCAAUGUGUUUGGCCCUAGCUGGCCCAGAGGGGAGCGCUGAGGAAAUUUCACUAAAAAAAUAUCAGGAAAGGGGGAGAAAGGGUGUUUGCAGAAUGGCAAGCAGUGAAGCCUUGUCAGGGAAGCCAAAGUUAGAACAAAAGGGGAGAUCUUGAACUCUCUGAAAUGUUCCGAGUGCAUCUCAUUUGACAUAAUCCCCCCCCCCACACACACACUACACACAAAGGCUUGUGCUGCUCUUUUGCUCCUAUACCCUAAAGAUAAGUAUGUUGUAGUACACUGAAGCUCAUGGGACCAGGGAAGAUAAGGUAUGCUGGGAGAGUCUGCACAGCAGAUCCUACAAAGUGGAGUUUUCUGAAUAACAAAAAGCAAAGAAAAUAAUAGACCAAACACAAGGAAUGGGGCAGAGCACAAGAGCCCCAUACCAUGGAAAGAGAGAUGCAGGAAAAAGCAUAUAAAGCAACUGUGGUUUCUCUUAAAGGGAGAUUUUGCUUUAUUUUUCAUCUCUCAAAAGGUGUCAACUUAAGAAAACCUCACAGCUCCUUGUGGGCUGCUCGCUCUCAAAGGGAAAUGAAUUAUUUAGGAGUGUGAUGAAUAGUUCAUCAAACCUCUCUCCAACAGGGUUGCUGCUUAGGCUCAGAGUAAUUGGCCAAGAGCAGAAGGGGGGCAGGCCCUUGCCUCAGUGAUUCUUUCUUCUGCCCCUGGAGGGAGCCAUGAAUGGGAGGGUGAGGGUGACUGCCUGCGGUGGAUCUUUCCAUCCCAGAUGGAAGAAUAGAGAGAGGCAGAAACGAAAACGGAGGUCAUUCCCAAGACAAGCCUGCAGGAGGAGCCAGCACCCUUCAUUGGAACAAGCUCUUAUAUAAACGGAGGGUUCUUACCUGGAAGGGCUGGAAGUAGCCACAGAUUCAGCCCUAAAUCCCAAUCUCCCAUCUGUUUUCCGAUUGGGCAGGCAUCAGGUGCUCCCAGGAAAUUUUAGCCUCUGCUCUCCCUAUUGCAGGCCCUGUUUUUUUGGGGUCUGUAUAAAACAAGCAUGUGGAACAGAAAGAGAUGUGUGGUGCAGCACCCAGUCACAAAGCUGUGCACCCAAACCAGUUUCUGACAACCUUGUUUUGCCCUCCAUCUUCCCCCCUUUCCCCACCUCCACAUACUUAAUGGAAAUGGACAAAGGUAUAAUCCAAGCUUAUCAAAACGGUCUGCAAACUGAAGAGGCUGCAUCUUUUCAAAUGUAAAAAAGAAAAGCCUGAUCUAUUUAUAAAAUCACUGUCAGAAUGGAGGAAAGCAGACAAAAACUACUCCUAACCUCAGCUCUAUCAGUACAUGAGGUGAGAAGCAAUAUAAUAUACUGUUCCUUUUGUGUUGCCAAAUAAGGGUUCAAAUCAGGGCUCUGCUCCUAAACUGUUUGACUUUGGAUCCUUUAUACAACCUCCUUGAGCCUCAAUUUCCCUUUCUGCAAACUGGAGAUGGUAGUACAUAUCUCAUAAGGUUGUUGUGAGAAUUAAAUGUGCUAACUUUUGUGAAAUGCUUAGCAUGUAAUAAGCAUUUGAUAAAUGUUAGCUGUGGCUGUUGUUAUUUAUGUUAUUACAUACUUACACAUUUGUCAUGGAUUACAUGGGAAACCCAGCAGAAGAAUUUGAAUGGCUCUGGUAAAAUCUGCUUCUUACUGUUAGUUAAAAACAUUCAUUAUCCAGGUCAUACAUCAUAUUUCUUCUAGAAAUGGACAGCUUUUCUUAUGAAACUACAGUUGCCAUACUAAUGAUCUCUCCCCACACCCUAGCCCAUCUCUCCCUCCCUCUAACCCUCUUCUUUCCCACUUUCCUUCCCUUCCUCUUUCCUUCUCUCUCUCUCUUCCUCCCUCUAUCAUUUUCUUUCCCCUCCCCUUCCUCCUUAUCUGCUUCUUUCUCUGUCUCACUCUCUCCUAUUUUUUGCCUCAUCUUUUCCACCUUUUUUUCCCUCCCUCCUUCUCUUGUGCCCCUUGAGUUCUGGUGUAUUUUUUCUGAAAUGUUGUGAAAUGUCUGCUUUAUUACAAAUAAGUUCCGUUUUUAAAAGAUUUGCAUUAUGUUAUCAAGUUCAGUUGCUACAACUUUAUUAUUACCUGCCAUUCCAAACCUAACUUUGCUUCACAGAAAGAAGAAUAAUUUAACUAUACACAUAUACAAAUAAUAAGUGUCUCAGUUGGCUUCUGCUCUUCCAAAAGAUUUUUAAAAUCAUUUGGUGCAAUCAUUCCUAAUAAGUUGCCCACCAGCUCUGAGACAGAUCUGUGAAAAACAGCUACAGACAUUUUACUCAAAGUAACAGAUUAAGAUGGUAAAUAUGAUAAAUCCAAGACCUACCUUGCAAAGUUAGCAAUGAACUAAUAUGAUCUUUUACCAUUGUUUGGAAAUUUUCUGCAUAGGGGCAUGUUAUAUCUUCAAGUAAGUGACAAAAGUUGCAAAUUUUAGGCCUCCAUAUGCAGAAAGCUCAAAGUCAGUUGCAAAAGGCUCCUGGCAAUUAUAAUUGGCUGUUCUCUGCUCAGUGUCACAGGCAUUCUGUUUUCUGUGGCUGGGGGACAGCAAGCUUCAUGUCAGCUAGAGAGCCUAGGGUAAGAUCAGAUCACCCUUAGUUUUCUACAUGAGAGAAGCAAGCUGUCUGACCAGAAGCCUUCCAAAACCUAAUAGGUAUGGCUGUGUAUCCAUUUAUUUAUUCACCUAAUGUUUGUGCCUAACAUCUAUGGUAUUUUGGGACUAUAGAAUGGGAAUAUAGAAAGGACUAAAACAUGAUCUCUUAUGAUGAGGGAGUUUACAUAGUAGUUAAGAAGCAGGUACAUGCAGUGAUUUUAAAUUAAGAGGAAAAUACUGAAUCUGUCUACCAAAGUGCUGUGGUAGGUCCUCCAUGCUAUCUUUAAUUUUCUCACCAACUUUAUUCAGAAAAAGAAUUUGUUUUGCUUUCCAUAGCUGUUUAGGACAAAAAUAAGAAUAAAAAUAAUUACUUUUGGGGUUCUGGCUUUGUGCCACACAUUUAUACAAAUUGCCUCAUUUAAUCCUUAUGGCAACUGUAUUAGUCUACUGAGCCUGCCAUAACAAAACACUCUAAACUGGGUGGCUUAAUCAACAGAAAUUUAUUUUCUCACAGUUAUGGAGGCUGGGAAGUCUAAGCAGCCAAACAAUUCAGUUUCUGGUGAGAUCUAUUUUCCUGGCUUACAGAGGGCUUCUUUCUAGUUGUGUGCUCAAAAAGCCUUUCCUAGGUGCCUGUGUGUGGGGAGGGGGAUGGAAAGGACAAUAACUUUCUCUUCUUAUAAUGCCACAGUUCUAUCAGAUCAACUGCUUAUUAUCUGACUUAACCUUAAUUAUCUUCUAAAGAUCCUCUCCCCAGAUAGUCACAUUGGAGUAUAGUCCUCCAACAUAUGAAUUUAGCAGGGAGACAUAAUUCAAUCCGCAGUAGAACUAUAUGCUUUAGAUGAUGAUUUUAUUUUCAUUUUUCAGAUGGGGAACAGAAGCUCGGAUAGGCUGAAUGACCUCUUCAAGAUUGUACAGCUAAAAAUUGUAGCAAUAAGUUUACUAAAAGACAACUGCUGGGUUUGGGUUGUGGCUCAGAGGUAGAGCACUUGCCCAGCAUGAUGAGAAAAUGUGUUUGAUCCUCAGCACCACAUAAAAUAAAAUAAAGGUAUUGUG